GACGUAGGGCGCGAGCGUUGUCCGGAUUUAUUGGGCGUAAAGAGCUCGUAGGCGGCUUGUCGCGUCGUCCGUGAAAACCUGCAGCUCAACUGUCGGGCUUGCGGUCGAUACGGGCAGGCUGAGUUCGGUAGGGGAGACUGGAAUUCCUGGUGUAGCGGUGAAAUGCGCAGAUAUCAGGAGGAACACCGGUGGCGAAGGCGGGUCUCUGGGCCGAUACUGACGCUGAGGAGCGAAAGCGUGGGUAGCAAACAGG
RNAcentral lists this ribosomal RNA (253 nucleotides) under uncultured bacterium. RNAcentral's name for it is "partial 16S ribosomal RNA". It matches the Rfam family "Bacterial small subunit ribosomal RNA", at positions 524 to 776 of the family's 1533-position model. The record is from RNAcentral.